UGGUUCUUUCUUUGUUAAGUUGAAACAGGGUUUCCGAGAGAAAGAGUCGUCAUUUUUAUUUGUUUGGGAUUUUGAUGUUAGCUUAAUUAGCUUGAUUGCUACUUGUUAGGCAUUUUUAGAAUUUGUUAUGGGUUUUUGUUGGUUCGGUUUGGCGGUUCGUGAGCUUGCUAUUAUUCUUGACGAAGUUUGAUGCUGAAAGACUUGGAAACCAUGCUGUCCACCACGUCGAGAAGCUGAGUAACAUUCUGUGUGUUCAAUGGCUCCUUUUAAUAAAAUGAACUGAAGCCAUCCAAUCUAGGGCUUCCAUCCAAUCAUGCAGGCUGCAUGGAAGUCGCAUUUACCUUUGCUGUGUCCUGUGUCGAACAUCCUGAACACACACACCAUUUGAAGUUGACAAUCUUAUCCAGUUAAGAUUUUACAAUUAAAAUGUGAUUAAGCUUUGCAUUCAUUGGUUAGUUUUAACAUUUUGGGAUUUCGUCAAGUCAACAGCUAUUUCCUUCAGCCAUGUGUUCUGUUAUGGAUUUUUUAAAGGGGAGUUUGUUGUAAGCAAGAAAGGUAGAUACUGAAAGAGGUUCAUGUUUACAUAGCAGUGGUGUUGCUGUCCAAUGUGGAAUGUUGUUGCAGCCUAUGGUGGUGAAAGAUAUCUGCAUCAAGUUGCUGUUUCUUGUUCAUCUAAGGUGCUGGUUUUGUGCUACAGAAGUUACUUCCAGUAUUGUGUUUAAUUGCUAUUUGUGUCUAUGCAGUUUACCUUUUAUGUAUUGAGAAGGAACAAAAAAAAGUAAUAUGGGAAGGUUUAUGUCAAACAAAUAAUAAACAUGUCCGCGAUUGAGGAAUGAGGAGGAAGUUGGGGUGGGAUACUUGAUUAUCAUUUACUAAAAGAAGUGAGGUAUAUUUUUAAUGAAUAUGCACAGUACUUGGUGAUAAAAUCUGUUGUUAACCCAUAUAACCUUCUCCACUUACACAUAUAUUUCUCUAACCCCGACAUCAAAUCCCACAUUCAUUCCUCAACCCCCAGAAUCUCCAACAUCCCAUUGUCACAAUUGUUGUAUACCUAUAAUCAUAUUCAUACAUAAAUAAAUAAAAUGUCAUUGUGUAUAAAUUGUGUCAACUAUAUUUAUUCUGGAACACGAACAAAGUUAACAAUUCAUUAAACAAAG
Long non-coding RNA from Daphnia pulicaria, 1157 nucleotides. RefSeq lists it as uncharacterized. NCBI's taxonomy places the organism in Eukaryota, Metazoa, Arthropoda, Branchiopoda, Diplostraca, Daphniidae. The transcript has 4 exons. The record is from RefSeq and is a predicted model, not a curated record.